UUCAUCUCCUUCUUCCCCUUGAUUUUUCUUCUUCAUUUCAUCAUUUCUUCUCACAAAAAAAACUUUUCUAAGCUUCUCAACUCUCCCUCAUCCAUCUCUAUCAAUAUUUCUUUAGAUCUUCAUGUUUUGAGCAUUUUCAUCCCACACCUAUUUUUGGUGAAACCCAUUUUCUAAAACUCAUUUUCUUUACAUUAAAAUGACUUCUUCCUCCAAGGGAUCUUCUUUUAUAGCUUCUCAUGGUAAGAAAUAUGAUCUAUCAUUUGAGUCGCAUGAGGAUGAUGGCCUUCUUCAAGACCCUAGGACCCAUGCUCCAUAUAGUCAUGUAGACACCAAGAUGAACUUAAAUCCUUAGGCUGGAUGUGAGGGGUAUGCUGAGUGUGAGCGGGCUCUAGAUCAAAAUGGCCGCCAGGUAUUGUUUAAAUGUAGGCAUGGAAAGUACUGGUAUCUUGGUGAUCGGGUGUUGCCCCAAGUUGAACAUGUCUAUCCUCCUACCACAAUUCCAACUCCUCCUUGUCUCACUAUUCGGUUGGCUAAACUCCUGGCUGAUGAAGAGAUUGCUUGGGCCUAUGAUGGCUAUAUUGUUGCAAGAGUAAAAGGAAAUUACUCUGAAUUUGUUCGAGAUCACUUUCAAAGUUGCUUAGUUGAUAGAAUGCCUCCAUCUUUUAAAUGAGAGAAAGAGAUUCCCUCUCCUCACCAUGCUGGUGGUUCUUCUAGUUCUUUCAUAGAGACUUAUCCGCAUUUUCUGGCAUAACAGUAUGAUGUGAUUAAUCCUGAUAGAAUGUAUAGUUCCAUGCCUUUGACUAGGCCAGAGCAUGUGCCAAAUGUUCCUUGCCCCAAUUCAAUGUGUUCUUGAAUGUUCAGUUUUUUGUCCUUAUUUCUUGAAUGGCUUCUAACUCAAUAGAGUUGGGCUUCAGGUUGAUGUGGAUCUUGUGGAAGAAAGCGUGUGGAUGAUUGGAAGUUUGCAGUCAUUGGCUUAUACCCAGUCCUCCCAAUAUGUGAUCAAUGAUUCUAACUAAGCACUUUGAAUGGAAACCGCUGACAAUACUAGAAGAACUUUGGAGGAAAGAAUCCAGAACCUCAAACUUGAAAAUCGUCAGUACAAUCCCCGCUUUUUCUCAAGUCAAGAAGGAAAUACUGAAGAUGGCUCCUCUAGGGGUGGAUCAAGGAGAUCCUCACAUAGGCGGACUCAGAGUCCUAAUAAUGUAUGAAUUGUAUUUUUAUUUUCCUGAUGAGAUCCUGUAGUACUAAUUUAAACUUAUCUUGCUUGGCUUUUGUUGGAAUCUGCAUUUACUUGCAUGAGGUGGAGCCAA
Quercus lobata is the source of this 1310-nucleotide long non-coding RNA. RefSeq lists it as uncharacterized. The transcript is spliced from 4 exons. NCBI's taxonomy places the organism in Eukaryota, Viridiplantae, Streptophyta, Magnoliopsida, Fagales, Fagaceae. The record is from RefSeq and is a predicted model, not a curated record.